Molecule: ribosomal RNA, 253 nt
Filed under: uncultured bacterium
Lineage: Bacteria
Description: partial 16S ribosomal RNA
Rfam family: Bacterial small subunit ribosomal RNA
Source: RNAcentral
GACGAACCGUGCGAACGUUGUUCGGAAUCACUGGGCUUAAAGGGCGCGUAGGCGGCGCGUCGAGUCGGGGGUGAAAGCGUUCGGCUUAACCGGACCAGGGCCCCCGAUACUGACACGCUCGAGGGAGGCAGGGGCCGACGGAACUUCCGGUGGAGCGGUGAAAUGCGUUGAUAUCGGAAGGAACGCCGGUGGCGAAAGCGGUCGGCUGGACCUCUACUGACGCUGAGGCGCGAAAGCCAGGGGAGCGAACGGG